AGAACGAACGCUGGCGGCAGGCCUCAAACAUGCAAGUCUAGGGGGGUGUAGCAAUACAUCACCGGCGGACGGGUGCGUAACGCGUGGGAAUAUACCUAUUGGUUCGGAACAACUGAGGGAAACUUCAGCUAAUACCGGAUAAGCCCUUACGGGGAAAGAUUUCUCGCCAAUAGAUUAGCCCGCGUCCGAUUAGCUAGUUGGUGGGGUAAAAGCCUACCAAGGCAACGAUCGGUAGCUGUUCUGAGAGGAAGAUCAGCCACACUGGGACUGAGACACGGCCCAGACUCCUACGGGAGGCAGCAGUUGGGAAUCUUGGACAAUGGGGGAAACCCUGAUCCAGCCAUGCCGCGUGAGUGAUGAAGGCCUUCGGGUUGUAAACUCUUUCGACGGGACGAUAAUGACGGUACCCGUAGAAGAAGCUCCGGCUAACUUCGUGCCAGCAGCCGC
RNAcentral lists this ribosomal RNA (447 nucleotides) under uncultured bacterium. Its description in RNAcentral is "SSU rRNA". It matches the Rfam family "Bacterial small subunit ribosomal RNA", at positions 26 to 518 of the family's 1533-position model. The record is from RNAcentral.